CGUCAGGACGGCAGUCUGAUGCAGCACGCCGCGUGAGUGAUGACGGCCUUCGGAUUGUAAAGCUCUGUUCUUUGGGACGAUAAUGACGGGACCCAAGGAGGAAGCCACGGAUAAUUACUUGCCAGCAGCCGCGGUAAUACUACUAGUGGCAAGCGUUGUCCGGAUUUACUGUUGGUAAAGGGUGCGUAAAUGGAUAUUUAAAUCAGAUGUGAAAGCCCUGGGCUCAACCUGAGGUCUGCAUUUGAAACUGGAUGUCUAAAGUGCGUUGGAAGUAGGUGAAAUUGCUAGUGUAGGGGGGAAGUGGGAAUAGAUUAGGAAGAACACCAUGGGCGAAGGCGACUUACUGGAUCGGAACUGACCCUGAGGCUCUGGAGCGUGAGCAGCAAACAGGAUUAGAUACCCUGGUAGUCCACGCCAUAAACGAUGAUGACUAUGUGUAGGGGGUAUCGACUCCCCCUGUGCCGCAGGUAAUUCCAUACUUACUCGGCCUGGCAAGUACGAUCGCCAGAUUACCAGUCAAGUGAAUUGACGGGGUUGAGACUCAAAUGAAUUGACGG
Molecule: ribosomal RNA, 557 nt
Filed under: uncultured bacterium
Lineage: Bacteria
Description: bacterial SSU rRNA
Rfam family: Bacterial small subunit ribosomal RNA
Source: RNAcentral